This 225-nucleotide ribosomal RNA is filed under the name Clostridioides difficile. Its description in RNAcentral is "partial 23S ribosomal RNA". It matches the Rfam family "Bacterial large subunit ribosomal RNA", at positions 2698 to 2925 of the family's 2925-position model. Lineage: Bacteria; Bacillati; Bacillota; Clostridia; Peptostreptococcales; Peptostreptococcaceae. The record is from RNAcentral.
UGGACGUACCUCUGGUGUACCAGUUGUCCUGCCAAGGGCAUGGCUGGGUAGCUAUGUACGGAAUGGAUAAGCGCUGAAAGCAUCUAAGCGCGAAGCCAACUUCAAGAUAAGAUUUCCCACCGCAAGGGUAAGACCCCAGAAAGACUAGCUGGUUGAUAGGUCGAAGGUGUAAGUGCAGCAAUUUAUUUAGCUUAUCGAUACUAAUAGGUCUAGGACUUGACCAAU